AAAAACCAUUAUCAGGGGAAAGCGUAGUGGAGAAGUCCAACUCCCACUGAGCCAAAGAAAAUGCAAGGAAGCCCUGUGGACCAUCACGGUCACACCAGCCUCUGCUGUGAUCUGUAAUUCUGUCCUUGAUGAUGAUCCAGUUAAAAAUAAGGCCCUGUGUCCAGGGUGUUUGGUUUGGUUUGGUUUUUAAUGCCCUGCCACCCACUCUUGGAAAACAAGGUGAUGAAUGCUUUCCACCACCAACAGACUGACUAAAACAUUGAUUUAGCCCUGAUCUGCAAUGUAUUCAUGGCCAAUGUCACUGGGCCAGUGGAUCUGGAUUGCAUCCAUAGCCAGUGAUUUCUUCUUCCCCUUUCCCUCUUAGCAGAUUCUUGGUUAUUCCUUGUAGCUGUGCCCCUGCCUGUCCUUACAUUUCUCCUCAUCUUCCAUGCAGUAAGUGACAGGGCGAACCAACUUUCACUUAUUACUGGCAUAUCCAUCCCCCUAAGCAAGUCAUUUGCCAGGUGUUUGUGUUCACCCACGUCUCCUACAUGGCAGAUACAAUGACCAAUGGCUGCUCUUGUCACUUCUGAGAUGCUACUAUGGCUUACCAAUAAAUGUGGGACUUCUGGCAGUUUUUUAUAAUAACCUGAUUUCCUUAUUUCAAAUGUCUAUAUGCUUUUUCCUUGACCCGUUGACCCUUUUAUGGUAAAGAGGAGGCCAAGCACACAAUGAUGCCUGAGAUUAGUAUCCACUGCUCUGCCUGAGAGAUGUGCAUCCAUACUUGACAUUUGAGAUUAUUUCUAUCCCAAUAGAACAGAGGUCAUACUGUUCAGACGUAUAUGGCUUGGUGGGGGUGCUUGCUUUUUGCAACCAUUAUCUAUGCAUACUGCAUGACAUAUGUACAAGAACCUUCAUGUCAUAACUACACCAUCAGGGUAAACUGAAGAAAGCACAUGGACUUGUCAAGUCAGAAGCUGGCAAUUGCAAAGUUAAACUCAGUAAUUAAAAAGACAUUAAAGAUUUUAGCCCAAAGGCAAGGCUCAAGGCCUCAAAGCUCAAGGAUGCUCUUGAUUGCCACAAAAUUCAGAAUCAAGAUUUCUUGUCUCUCCAUGAGCCCAAACUUACCAGUUGCUUAUCUGUAGUGAAAGGAUGGAUUGCUAUUCUAUCUCCAUAAAGUAUCAUAUAAAGCAGUUGGCUUGCACUGAAGAGCCACAUUGUCUGAGUGUGCUAUUUGUAGAAUUCCUAUUCUACACUAUUGGUCACCAUCACAUGUUCCCAUGAUGCAUCCAUUGUCAAAGAUGCAGAAAUGUGAGCCUGUUUCAAAAACCUGACCGUAGCAUCAGAUAGCUUUGAAGAGAAAGGUACAGUACCUGGCCAUAGGUAGUAACCAAGGGGGUUUUAUUAGUGUGCUCAUGAUUGAGUUGUUGAGUAUAUUUUUCUUCCUUGAUCCUGUGAAAUUCUCCAGGCUAAGGUUUCUACCACAUUAGACUGAGCAUCACCUACUCCUCAACUCAAAUUGAUUUCCAUUGUAUUUUCCGUGGUGUUGACAAGAGGCACUUGUUUAUCUGCCCUUGGGCUAUGAAACAAGUUAACAAGUACAACAGAUAAAUCCAUCUUUCACCCCAAAACCAGCCUGCAGCUUCCCAGCUGCAAAGAGCAGCUUAGAGGCAUGUAGGAGUGCAGGGCCUGGCCGAGGGUGUCACCAGUCCCACUGAGGUCUGCUCUCAUGAUGCAAAGCAAAUGACAAAACAGGGCAAGAAGGCUGCACGAUCGUCUGAGGGGGGAUGCCGUUCUACAGGAGGCCUCUGAUGGCCUGUGCAUUGUCUUUUUUGUGGGGUCACUGUCUCCUCUCUCAACUCUUAUCAAUCAAUCUUGGUCUCCACUGAGGAUCUACAGUCUCUGGGUUUGAGUGAACUUUGGCCACCUGCUAGGUGGUGCCUUUUAUAACCCUCAGGUGAAUCCUUCACCUAGAAGAACCAGUCUGAAAGUCAACAGAGCUUUAACAAACAAUUCUCUUGUUUUGCAGAGAGAGGAUGCAAGCCAUGGAGAAGCAGAUUGCCAGUCUAACUGGCCUUGUUCAGUCUGCGCUUUUUAAAGGGCCCAUUACAAGUAGUAGCAAAGAGGCGUCUAGG
This 2114-nucleotide long non-coding RNA is filed under the name Mus musculus (house mouse). Its description in RNAcentral is "long non-coding RNA chr2:20757538-20759652". Lineage: Eukaryota; Metazoa; Chordata; Mammalia; Rodentia; Muridae. The record is from RNAcentral.